AGCGAACGCUGGCGGCAGGCCUAACACAUGCAAGUCGAACGCACCUUCGGGUGAGUGGCGGACGGGUGAGUAACACGUGGGAACGUGCCCUUUGGUACGGAACAACUGAGGGAAACUUCAGCUAAUACCGUAUGUGCCCCUAUUCUUAGCGGGAUGGGCGGGAAAGAUUUAUCGCCAUUGGAGCGGCCCGCGUUGGAUUAGGUAGUUGGUGGGGUAAAGGCCUACCAAGCCGACGACCCAUAGCUGGUCUGAGAGGAUGAUCAGCCACACUGGGACUGAGACACGGCCCAGACUCCUACGGGAGGCAGCAGUGGGGAAUCUUGCGCAAUGGGCGAAAGCCUGACGCAGCCAUGCCGCGUGAAUGAUGAAGGUCUUAGGAUUGUAAAAUUCUUUCACCGGGGAAGAUAAUGACGGUACCCGGAGAAGAAGCCCCGGCUAACUUCGUGCCAGCCGCCGCGGUAA
RNAcentral lists this ribosomal RNA (462 nucleotides) under uncultured bacterium. RNAcentral describes it as "partial 16S ribosomal RNA". It matches the Rfam family "Bacterial small subunit ribosomal RNA", at positions 29 to 523 of the family's 1533-position model. The record is from RNAcentral.